GGGGCGGAUACAAAGUCUUUUGGGGGAAGUGGGGCCGCAGAUUUCCCCCGACCCGAACACAGACUCGUACAGGGCGCGCUUGGGCGCAGCCUCGGAUUUCACGUCGGGCCCGACCUGGCUGUCUUUGGGGAGGAUGAAAAUCGCUUGAACCUGGGAGGCGAAGGUUGCAAUGAGCCGAGAUUGCGCCACUGCACUCCAGCCUGGGCAACAAGAGUGAAACUCCGUCUCAAAAAUGAAAAUAAAAUAAAUAAAAAUGAAACAGCCUUUUAAGAAUGCAAUUAUUAGGCAACGUCUUCAAAAGCCAUGAAAAUGUUCAUAUGCUUUGAUGCACAAAUUGCUUCUAGAAGUUCAUCUUAGGAAAUAUCCUGCUUUACUUGUAGUUUGGUAAAGUUUGGUUUAUUGCAUCCAGGCCACUUGGACAAAUGAAUUUUGUGGUAUAUGUCACAAACUAUGCUGUAGAACUGCAUUUUAUACUGUCUUAGAGACCUCUCUUUGUUCACAGAAGUUUAGAGAAUAAGUAUUUGUGGAAUGGAGAAGAAAGAAGUUCAAUUAGGGUAAAAUCACAUCUUAUCAAUGUUCUAUAGCAAUGUCAGUUACCAUUUAAUGAGUAUCGAUAAUGAUAGUGAAAUAAACGAUAUGUACUUAAAGGGCAAAA
Molecule: long non-coding RNA, 655 nt
Organism: Homo sapiens (human)
Lineage: Eukaryota; Metazoa; Chordata; Mammalia; Primates; Hominidae
Exons: 2
Source: RefSeq, a predicted model, not a curated record